This 301-nucleotide ribosomal RNA is filed under the name uncultured bacterium. RNAcentral's name for it is "partial 16S ribosomal RNA". It matches the Rfam family "Bacterial small subunit ribosomal RNA", at positions 509 to 808 of the family's 1533-position model. The record is from RNAcentral.
CAGUCGCCGCGGGAAAACGUAGGUGGCAAGCGUUGUCCGGAUUUAUUGGGCGUAAAGCGAGCGCAGGCGGUUAGAUAAGUCUGAAGUUAAAGGCUGUGGCUUAGCCAUUGUACGCUUUGGAAACUGUUUAACUUGAGUGCAAGAGGGGAGAGUGGAAUUCCAUGUGUAGUGGUGAAAUGCGUAGAUAUAUGGAGGAACACCGGUGGCGAAAGCGGCUCUCUGGCUUGUAACUGACGCUGAGGCUCGAAAGCGUGGGGAGCAAACAGGAUUAGAGACCCCUGUAGUCCCUGUCUCUUAUACA